UACGGGGGGGGCAGGCGUUGUUCGGAAUUACUGGGCGUAAAGGGCUCGUAGGCGGCCAACUAAGUCAGACGUGAAAUCCCUCGGCUUAACCGGGGAACUGCGUCUGAUACUGGAUGGCUAGAGUUUGGGAGAGGGAUGCGGAAUUCCAGGUGUAGCGGUGAAAUGCGUAGAUAUCUGGAGGAACACCGGUGGCGAAGGCGGCAUCCUGGACCAACACUGACGCUGAGAGACGAAAGCUAGGGGAGCGAAUGGG
RNAcentral lists this ribosomal RNA (253 nucleotides) under uncultured bacterium. RNAcentral describes it as "partial 16S ribosomal RNA". It matches the Rfam family "Bacterial small subunit ribosomal RNA", at positions 524 to 776 of the family's 1533-position model. The record is from RNAcentral.